UUGUGUUAUUAUUAUUAUAUACUUCAUACAGAAAAACUUGUGGUCAUAAAGUUCAGACACAGUUUUCUAUCAAAACGUGUGGUGGUCAAAAUUUUAGCAAAACAUGAAGCUCCAAACAGAUAAAGAAAACGUUAGCACAGUACAGCAAACAAAGAGAAAAGUGAAAAGUGAAAACCCAUGAAAUUAUAAAGAAGAAAGCAAAUUGAUAGAAACCUGGAGUAAACGACUACGACAUGGAGAGACGACGAGAAGGAAGCAGACGGCGGCGCCGGAAAAGGUGCGGUGGGUGUACAGUGAGCAGCGAACAGGAUUAGAGAUGUGUGAGUUGGGUUUUAUAGUUUCUAAAUUGAUACCCCAGCCUUGAAACCUAGUUCUCUUCCUUUAUUUUCUUCAUUUUUUUUUAAUUUAUGUUAUGGGCCGUGUCGUACUCAACUGAGCGGUGUCGCGUCCGCUGUAAGUUUUUUUUUUUUGUUGGAUACGGCUAGAUCCACGUCUGACGCGAAUCGUACGCGUGUCGUACGCGCGUCCGUGUCGGAACCGCGUUGGAGACGGCAACACGGCAGAUCUCAGCCGCGUCUGUGCAUCAGAGUGUUUGUCCCAAAACUCAAGAAGAAUCGGAGAGUGGUCAGAGGUAAAUCUUAAUAAAUGAUAAUUAGUAUAUCUAGGAAAAUAGUUUAUCCAAAGAUCAUUGGCACAAUAUCUAUCAAUUCUUUCUUUGAUAUGGUAAGUGCUCUCUUGGUUAUUGGCCCAUGUGUACUUGUUUCCAUGGUAUCCAAGGUCAAAAAGAUUACAGUUUUGAAGAGUAUUUUGGAAGAGGUUACAGAGGUUACAGAGGUUAUAGUUCACAUUUUUGCCUCCCAAUUUCUCUGAACUAUUAAUGUAUAGGUUGAAGUCACCAAAAACAAGCCACUUGACAUUAUAUUUACUAUUAUAGAGAUUGGUAAUAGCUUCACAAGUCAAGUGUUUUUUAGAUUGAUAGGGAUAACCAUAGAGCCCAGUACCACACCACUUUUCAUUGUUUAAAACAUCCAAGACAUAAAAAUCAAUAAGCAUUUUAUUAUGAUCAGUAAUAUUGAGCUUAACAUCAUUGUGCCAAAUCAAAGCUAAUCCUCCAGACCUACCUCCACCUUCAGAAUUACAGUUAAUUAUGAAAUGAUUUUGAAGGUGGCCAAGACACAACUUACUAGACACUUUAGGAUCAGAAACUUUGAGCUUAGUUUCCAUUAGGAAUACAAUAUCUGGACAGUUAGAUCUAAGGAGCUUUUUAUAGGCUCUAACUGCAUCAGGGUUGCCCAACCCUCUGCAGUUCCAGGUUAAGAUUUUCAUAUUCCUAGGCUGGUCUUAUCCUCAAGACCUGCCUUUGUCAUUGUCAUAUUAUUAUCCAUUGAAUUAUCAACAGACAUAGUGAUACCAUUUGUUGCUGUAGCUUUCCUUUUCAUGUGAACUUUUUGAUUGCCAGGAAUUGUUUCUAAUUGGUGCUGCUGUUGCUGGUUUAUAUCAUUGUUCUGCUGAGUUGUAGAGGAGUCCUUCUGUGGUUCAGAUUCCAUGUUUAGACCUGACAUCAUUUCUGAGAGCCCUCUAGGAUUGGAGAAAGCUGCAGAUGGGCUUUACUGGUACCAAUGCCAUCAGGGUUGAGGGGUUCAACAUAGAGCAGCGAUAGAAUUCAUGAGUGGAGGGAUAUCAGAAAGACACAAAAAUUCUGGAAAAAGCAAUAAGACAAGAAGACGAAGGGGCAAAGGAUAAAAAUAGAGUAAAAUAAGGAAGAAAAGGCAGAGGAGAUCAACGAAAACUUAACCUAGAUACACCAAAAGAUCAUCCAAGGAUGCAAACUAAAGCCAACUACCCUAAAUCACCAAAGAUAAGGGAGGAUAACAACAAGAAAACAAGGUAGGAAAAAAGGUUAAAAAAGAUUAGAAUUGAAUUGAGGUGAUGAUGUUAUAAAUAGUUUAAACGUUUUAACUGGGACAAUUUUUAUACAGGACAACUUGUCGUGUAAAUAAAGGUUAGCUUAGUCAAUGAUAAUUUAUCCCGUGUAUUUUAUUUUUUCUGAAAGUUUAGUCAAUGUUCGUUUCUCCUAUGCAUUUUAGUUUAUGAGGGUUCAAUAUCAUUAUAUAAUUGAAGUGAGGUGACAUCAUAAACAACAGGAACAUUUUAGCAAAACCAAUUUUUUCUAAAUAUUGUUUAUCAAAGUUAGUUUAGUUAGCGACAACUUCUCUCGUGCAUUUAUGUUACUUUAGAAAUUUUAGUCAAUGACCACUUAUCCGAUGCAUUUCAGUUUUCUACGAAAUUUUAUUCAAUCUUUGUUUAUCCUGUGCAUUUUAGUUGAUAAGUGUUCAAUAUCGUUUUAGAAUUGAAUUGAGGU
This 2362-nucleotide long non-coding RNA is filed under the name Medicago truncatula (barrel medic). RNAcentral's name for it is "lncRNA gene4228". Lineage: Eukaryota; Viridiplantae; Streptophyta; Magnoliopsida; Fabales; Fabaceae. The record is from RNAcentral.